CGUUACAUUUGAUCUGUAAGAAUUCAAUUUUGAAUCAUUUUCAUUUCAAAUUGAUUCACACACAUAGCAGACGCCAACACAUCAAGCGUCAUCAAUAGCGUGGUCUAUGGUGCAAUGCUAUCGCUGGAGUAAGUUGUUUACCUUCAAUUCGGGUAGCGUCAUGAUCGCUGCUGAUUGCCUUUCAAAUAGGUUUUCAGCAUUCUGCUUACACCUUUGGCAUAGUCACAUAUUUCACAAUCCAACAUCAAUUGGUACCAACAGCAGCCCUUCUCUCCAUCAUCCAGAAGGGUCUGAGAUCAGUGUUGGAGAUGAUGGUUCGGAACAACCCAUGGAAAGCUUAUCACUCAUUGAUGCUGUGAUGCCUGAUGUUGUUGCAAGUCGUCAACAGCAAACACAGAGCAAUCAGAAAUCAAAGUGGUAAAGACAGAACCACCAAAUUCCAAUGGAGAUGAACCCAUGCAUUCCUAUCGCUGGGAAGAGGAAACAGGAGUAGAGAUACCUGCCAGCAAAUCAACUGUACUUCGUGGCCAUGAAUCUGAAGUUUUCAUCUGCGCCUGAACCCAACAACUGAUUUAUUGGCUUCUGGCUCUGGUGAUAGUACUGCCAGAAUUUUGAACAUGAAUGACAACUUGUCUUCACCAACUCAACUUGUUAUUAGGCAUUUAAUUCAGAAGGGUGGAACUGAAGUUCCGAGCAACAAAGAUGCCACCUCACUUUACUGUGUGAUGGAACUCUGCUUGCAACUGGCUCUUACGAUGAUUACGCUCGCAUUUGGACAACUGAUGGAAGAUUAGCUAGCACUUUGGGACAGCAUAAAGGACCUACUGUCGCACUAAAAUGGAACAAAAAUGGCAACUAUAUCCUUAGUGCUGGAUUCGACAAAACGACCAUUUGGGACGCUUCAACGAGUCAGUGCACGCAGCAGUUUGCUUUCCAUUCCGCCCCAGCACUCGACGUAGAUUGGCAGUCGAAUGUCAGUUUUGCCUCAUGCUCCACUGACCAGUGUAUUCAUGUUUGGAAGUAAAAUCUAGGUAGCCUACAAUCAAUGAAACUGCGGUGUGCUGAUUGCGGCUGAUUGUUUUAACUAUAAAGCAUAUGUUAUCAAGCGAUCAAUUCAGAUCAGGUGUAUUAUCAAUUUUACAUUUUCCUGGACGCAAAAUUUGUUGUUUUGCUUUAAAACUGGAUCGACAAUCAACAGUAUACAGCCUUGACGGGGGAUCAAUCAGCACAUGGAAAAAUAAGGGUUCAAAUUAUUUA
Daphnia pulicaria is the source of this 1257-nucleotide long non-coding RNA. RefSeq lists it as uncharacterized. Lineage: Eukaryota; Metazoa; Arthropoda; Branchiopoda; Diplostraca; Daphniidae. The record is from RefSeq and is a predicted model, not a curated record. The transcript is spliced from 6 exons.